This 426-nucleotide ribosomal RNA is filed under the name uncultured Bifidobacterium sp. RNAcentral's name for it is "bacterial SSU rRNA". It matches the Rfam family "Bacterial small subunit ribosomal RNA", at positions 173 to 617 of the family's 1533-position model. The record is from RNAcentral. Lineage: Bacteria; Bacillati; Actinomycetota; Actinomycetes; Bifidobacteriales; Bifidobacteriaceae.
CUCCAGUUGAUCGCAUGGUCUUCUGGGAAAGCUUUCGCGGUAUGGGAUGGGGUCGCGUCCUAUCAGCUUGACGGCGGGGUAACGGCCCACCGUGGCUUCGACGGGUAGCCGGCCUGAGAGGGCGACCGGCCACAUUGGGACUGAGAUACGGCCCAGACUCCUACGGGAGGCAGCAGUGGGGAAUAUUGCACAAUGGGCGCAAGCCUGAUGCAGCGACGCCGCGUGAGGGAUGGAGGCCUUCGGGUUGUAAACCUCUUUUAUCGGGGAGCAAGCGAGAGUGAGUUUACCCAUUGAAUAAGCACCGGCUAACUACGUGCCAGCAGCCGCGGUAAUACGUAGGGUGCAAGCGUUAUCCGGAAUUAUUGGGCGUAAAGGGCUCGUAGGCGGUUCGUCGCGUCCGGUGUGAAAGUCCAUCGCUUAACGGGG